GAGUUCCGGGUCGUGACAUAUGAUCACUUACUUGGAUCUAGAUGGUACAAGAUGAAGUGCUGAACUCUAUUACAAAGAUUGGCGUUUAAGUGCAGUAAGGUGCUGUGAAGCUUUUCUAGUUUUUUCUACUUUCUAUAGCCCAAAUCUCAUUCAAGGCUUUAAAAAACUUGUUUCUCAUUGUUGGAAGACCCUUUUAUACUUAGAGAUACAACUCUGAUGG
This 220-nucleotide long non-coding RNA is filed under the name Theobroma cacao (cacao). Its description in RNAcentral is "long non-coding RNA (TCAC_LNC004007)". The record is from RNAcentral. Lineage: Eukaryota; Viridiplantae; Streptophyta; Magnoliopsida; Malvales; Malvaceae.